AUGGUAAGUGUGAUGGCAUUGCAGACAAGCCUUUGUACACCAAACAUCAAUGGGAUUAAUAAUGAAACUGAUCUACCGAUGAAAAAAACAACAGAUAGAUCCGUUUUGCAAUUGAAUUCGACUACUACACAAUAGAACAAAACACUAAGAAGAGAUUAGUGUCUGCAGAAUGGAAUUGGGGUUAGGUUAAUGGAAAAGAUUACUUAUCUGUGGAAACACCCAAUUCGCCGAUGACGGUCCCUUUCUUUGAGACAAAUGCUAAAGACUCUAUCAAUGUUGAGCAGGCUUUCUUAACUAUGGCAACAGAGAUUAAGAAGAAAUUAAGCCGAUGAGAAUUUGAGCCAACGGUUUUACAGUAGAUGUAGCCAGAGCUGAGGCUACUAAGGAAUUACUGUUGAGGCCGAAAUCGCCAUUGAAAGAAUUAAGAGCUCCUCAAGUUUUCACCAAAUUUCACUGCAGUAACACAAAAUGAUUACCAAGCUGUAGAAAAUUCAAAAAUAUCCCAAUGGAAUUAAGACAAGUCAGAGGAAGAAAGUAUGUAGGUUCAGAUUACCUUUCCGGAAGAUAGCAUCAAACAAGAUAAAAGCACUUCUGAGCAUGAAAAAGCACUUCUGAAAGCUUUCUCCUUUGAACCUUUAUACACCAACCGAAACCCUAAUCAGCCUGCAUAAUAGAAGAGAGCGAUUCAGAGAGAGGAUCGGACCCACCAACGAACCCUAAUUCGAAAACACAAGAAAAGACCUAGUCAGAGGCGGAAGAAAAUACUGUUCAACAAAAAACCUAAGGGAAUCCGGAUUCCACUCAGAAGGAAAAAACAAUAUCAUAAGCUAGAAGGAUUCAGGAAGAACCUUACUUACGCGUUCGUUGGUCGAUCCAGCUGCAAUCGGUUAGUUCCAUUUUCGAUCCAUCUUUUCUUUGAUGUAGCUUCAUGGUUCCUUGCAUGUUCUUGUUGUGUUAUGUUUGUUGAAUUUUGGUUGCUGUUCAAAAGAAUGAGAUCUUUGAAAAGAAGGUGGAUUUUGUAGAAAA
RNAcentral lists this long non-coding RNA (1026 nucleotides) under Lathyrus oleraceus (garden pea). RNAcentral's name for it is "Pisum sativum (pea) long non-coding RNA (PSAT_LNC035681)". The record is from RNAcentral. Lineage: Eukaryota; Viridiplantae; Streptophyta; Magnoliopsida; Fabales; Fabaceae.